RNAcentral lists this ribosomal RNA (253 nucleotides) under uncultured bacterium. RNAcentral describes it as "partial 16S ribosomal RNA". It matches the Rfam family "Bacterial small subunit ribosomal RNA", at positions 524 to 776 of the family's 1533-position model. The record is from RNAcentral.
UACGUAGGGUCCGAGCGUUGUCCGGAAUUACUGGGCGUAAAGCGCGCGUAGGCGGCUUUGUAAGUUAGAGGUGAAAGCCCGAAGCUCAACUUCGGAAUUGCCUUUAAGACUGCAUCGCUUGAAUCCAGGAGAGGUGAGUGGAAUUCCGAGUGUAGAGGUGAAAUUCGUAGAUAUUCGGAAGAACACCAGUGGCGAAGGCGGCCAACUGGUCCGGUACUGACGCUGAGGUGCGAAAGCGUGGGGAGCAAACAGG